AUUGAACGCUGGCGGCAUGCCUUACACAUGCAAGUCGAACGGCAGCACGGGUGCUUGCACCUGGUGACGAGUGGCGAACGGGUGAGUAAUACAUCGGAACGUACCUUAUCGUGGGGGAUAACGCAGCGAAAGCUGUGCUAAUACCGCAUACGCCCUGAGGGGGAAAGCGGGGGAUCGCAAGACCUCGCGCGAUUAGAGCGGCCGAUGCCUGAUUAGCUUGUUGGUGGGGUAAAAGCCCACCAAGGCGACGAUCAGUAGCUGGUCUGAGAGGACGAUCAGCCACACUGGGACUGAGACACGGCCCAGACUCCUACGGGAGGCAGCAGUGGGGAAUUUUGGACAAUGGGGGCAACCCUGAUCCAGCAAUGCCGCGUGAGUGAAGAAGGCCUUCGGGUUGUAAAGCUCUUUUGUCAGGGAAGAAACACCGGCUCUAACACAGUCCGGGAAUGACGGUACCUGAAGGAUAAGCACCGGCUAACUACGUGCCAGCCGCCGCGGUAA
Molecule: ribosomal RNA, 501 nt
Filed under: uncultured bacterium
Lineage: Bacteria
Description: partial 16S ribosomal RNA
Rfam family: Bacterial small subunit ribosomal RNA
Source: RNAcentral